AUUCCAGCUCCAGUAGCGUAUAUUAAAGUUGUUGCAGUUAAAAAGCUCGUAGUUGGAUUUCUGGCUUGAGACGCCUGAGCCGCCAGGGUUACCUGUGUGAGUCUCGGUGUGUCUCUGCCAUCCUUCUGGAUAGCGUGUCUACCUUUUAUUAGGCCGGGCUCGUGCUCCAGAUCUUUUACUUUGAAAAAAUUAGAGUGUUUAAAGCAAGCUUGCGCUAGGAAUACAUUAGCAUGGAAUAAUAACUUAGGACUUUGGUUCUAUUUUGUUGGUUUCUAGGACUGAAGUAAUGAUUGAUAGGGAUAGUUGGGGGUGCUAGUAUUCAGCGGCCAGAGGUGAAAUUCUUGGAUUCGCUGAAGACUAACUUAUGCGAAAGCAUUCACCAAGGAUGUCUUCAUCA
This 397-nucleotide ribosomal RNA is filed under the name Thecofilosea sp. Its description in RNAcentral is "partial small subunit ribosomal RNA". It matches the Rfam family "Eukaryotic small subunit ribosomal RNA", at positions 582 to 975 of the family's 1831-position model. Lineage: Eukaryota; Cercozoa; Thecofilosea. The record is from RNAcentral.